This 497-nucleotide ribosomal RNA is filed under the name uncultured bacterium. Its description in RNAcentral is "partial 16S ribosomal RNA". It matches the Rfam family "Bacterial small subunit ribosomal RNA", at positions 28 to 507 of the family's 1533-position model. The record is from RNAcentral.
GAUGAACGCUGGCGGCGUGCCUAAUACAUGCAAGUCGAGCGAACAGACGAGGAUCUUGCUCCUCGGACGUUAGCGGCGGACGGGUGUGUAACACGUGGAUAACCUACCUAUAAUACUGGGAUAACUUCGGGAAACCGGAGCUAAUACCGGAUAAGAUAUUGAACCGCAUGGUUCAAUAGUGAAAGACGGUGUUUCUGGCACUUAUAGAUGGAUCCGCGCCGCAUGAGCUAGUUGGUAAGGUAACGGCUUACCAAGGGAACGAUGCGUAGACGACCUGAGAGGGUGGUAGGCCACCAUGGAACUGAGCCACGGUCAAGACUCCUACGGGAGGCAGCAGUAGGGAACCUUACGCAACGGGCGAAAGCCUGACGGAGCAACGCCGCGCGAGUGAUGAAGGUGUCGCGAUCGUAAAACUCUGUUAUGAGGGAAGAACAAAUGUGUAAGUAACUAUGCACGUAUUGACGGUAACUAAUCAGAAAGCAACGGCUAACUACGUG